Salvia hispanica is the source of this 462-nucleotide non-coding RNA. The record is from RefSeq and is a predicted model, not a curated record. NCBI's taxonomy places the organism in Eukaryota, Viridiplantae, Streptophyta, Magnoliopsida, Lamiales, Lamiaceae.
CGGCAGUUAAUCUAUCAAAUCUUAAGCAAAAAAUCGCUAAUUUCCAAUCUAUAUAUUCACUCUCUUUAAUUCUUCCUUCAAUCUUCUAUCAUCAUUUAAUCAUGGAGAAUGAUGUUCCCGCUGACAUCCAUUUCACUUAUUUUGCAAACGUUACUCGUGUGCUUGAUUGCCCGGUCAGCGUAAAACCAUUCGAUGUGAGAAAUUCAACACAGUAGGCGACGUAAUUGCUUUCUACGAUGAUUAUGCUCGUGCUUCUGGUUUCGACACACGGAAACGUGGAGCCAAAUCCACAUGCUUAUCAACUUGCUUAGAUAUGUUUGCUAUAUCACUUGCUUGGUUAAUAAUGUAUCACAUAUUGCAUAGCAAUUUGUAAUAUGUUGUUACCCAGUCAGUUAUAAGUGUUUUACCAUAGUACAAGACAAUUUUUGAUUGAUUUUGGGUAACAUUCGCGAUUGAUUUUGA